GGUAACGGUGUUGGUGCAAGCUGGUUUUGACGAGACCAUGCAGGAGGCUCUCCCUGGUUUGCUGUUCAGUGCUGGAUGACAUGCUCUCCUGUGUGCUGGAUACUUAGCAUAGCAAGCAGACCCUGCAGUCUGGUGAAACAGCAGCUGAAUGAUGGUGAAGUGGAAAAGGCUGCUAAUCAAACAGAAUUAUAGAACAUACAUAUCAAUCCAUAAUAUUCACUGUUGGCAGUAAUAUUCAAGGUAGAGGAGCUGCUGUCUCAACUGCAGUAAGUACUGGAGACUCAUGAGGUUAACUGGAAGCAUGUGCUCUCCUGUCUCUCCACCCUGCUCGUGUACAAUCCAAACACACAGUCAAGCC
Long non-coding RNA from Salvelinus sp. IW2-2015, 358 nucleotides. RefSeq lists it as uncharacterized. Lineage: Eukaryota; Metazoa; Chordata; Actinopteri; Salmoniformes; Salmonidae. The record is from RefSeq and is a predicted model, not a curated record.